CCUACGGGGCGCACCAGUAGGGAAUCUUCGGCAAUGGACGAAAGUCUGACCGAGCAACGCCGCGUGAGUGAAGAAGGUUUUCGGAUCGUAGAACACUGUUGUUAGAGAAGAACAAGUAGGAGAGUAACUGCUCUUACCUUGACGGUAUCUAACCAGAAAGCCACGGCUAACUACGUGCCAGCAGCCGCGGUAAUACGUAGGUGGCAAGCGUUGUCCGGAUUUAUUGGGCGUAAAGCGAGCGCAGGCGGUCUUUUAAGUCUGAUGUGAAAGCCCUCGGCUCAACCGAGGAAGGUCAUUGGAAACUGGAGGACUUGAGUGCAGAAGAGGAGGGUGGAAUUCCAUGUGUAGCGGUGAAAUGCGUAGAUAUAUGGAGGAACACCAGUGGCGAAGGCGACUCUCUGGUCUGUAACUGACGCUGAGGCUCGGAAGCGUGGGGAGCAAACAGGAUUAGAUACCCGGGUAGUC
Molecule: ribosomal RNA, 465 nt
Filed under: uncultured bacterium
Lineage: Bacteria
Description: bacterial SSU rRNA
Rfam family: Bacterial small subunit ribosomal RNA
Source: RNAcentral